Long non-coding RNA from Helianthus annuus (common sunflower), 337 nucleotides. RefSeq lists it as uncharacterized. Lineage: Eukaryota; Viridiplantae; Streptophyta; Magnoliopsida; Asterales; Asteraceae. The record is from RefSeq and is a predicted model, not a curated record. The transcript is spliced from 3 exons.
GAUCCCGACACUGAUGACACUGAUGAAUAUCAAAGUGUCUGUCGUGUAAUGUCCGGCUUCUCAGAUGCGUUCUGUACAGAGGUUAAGUGAAAUUAUGUCGAAGGUUUAAAUGAUUUAUUGGGCUUGGUUCCUAUUGGUGCUUGGUACGGGAAUGGAAGGAAUGCUGGAUGGUACAGUCCAUUUCUCAUGGCUUGCUAUGAUCCCGACACUGAUGAAUAUCAAAGUGUCUGUCGUGUAAUGUCCGGCUUCAGGAAGGUGAAGAUGGCUUCUGGUGGUCAAGAUUUGAUAUGGCCUCUUUCUCUGUCUCCACUCUCAAAACCCUAGCUCCGCACCAUAU